This 370-nucleotide long non-coding RNA is filed under the name Mytilus galloprovincialis (Mediterranean mussel). Lineage: Eukaryota; Metazoa; Mollusca; Bivalvia; Mytilida; Mytilidae. The record is from RNAcentral.
CGUGUUUUAUAGAUUUGCAAAUGAUACUUGUCCACACAUGAACAUGUUGAAGCUGGUUAUAAGGUUUCAAUACAUAUGCGUACAAUCGUUCUUUAAGUUUUUGAACAUACGUGUUGAAGUUUUGAUAACAAGAAAAAGAUGUGGUAUGAUUGGGGAUGAGACAACUCAUCGCAAGAAAUAAAAUGACACAGAAGUUUUCACCAUAAGUCACCCCACGGCCUUCAACAGUGAGUAAUGAACAUACCACAGUCAUUAUUUCAUAAAUUAUCUCAUACAAUAUGUUAAACAGACAAUUUGUUAAAAAAAAUCGUAAAGGUUCCGCGAAACCCAGUGUCUCGCCUAUUCUUUCUGUUAAUCGCAUGCUCAACAA